This 673-nucleotide ribosomal RNA is filed under the name Inocybe lilacina. RNAcentral's name for it is "eukaryotic LSU rRNA". It matches the Rfam family "Eukaryotic large subunit ribosomal RNA", at positions 1 to 653 of the family's 3401-position model. The record is from RNAcentral. Lineage: Eukaryota; Fungi; Basidiomycota; Agaricomycetes; Agaricales; Inocybaceae.
UUGACCUCAAAUCAGGUAGGACUACCCGCUGAACUUAAGCAUAUCAAUAAGCGGAGGAAAAGAAACUAACAAGGAUUCCCCUAGUAACUGCGAGUGAAGCGGGAAAAGCUCAAAUUUGAAAUCUGGCAGCUCUUUGAACUGUCCGAGUUGUAAUCUAGAGAAGUGCUACCUGUGCUGGACCGUGUACAAGUCUCCUGGAAUGGAGCGUCACAGAGGGUGAGAAUCCCGUCUUUGACACGGACUGCCUGCACGUUAUGGUGCGCUCUCAAAGAGUCGAGUUGUUUGGGAAUGCAGCUCAAAAUGGGUGGUAAAUGCCAUCUAAAGCUAAAUAUUGGCGAGAGACCGAUAGCGAACAAGUACCGUGAGGGAAAGAUGAAAAGAACUUUGGAAAGAGAGUUAAACAGUACGUGAAAUUGCUGAAAGGGAAACGCUUGAAGUCAGUCGCGUCGGCUAGAAAUCAACCUCGCUUUUGCUUGGUGUACUUUCUUGUUGAUGGGUCAGCAUCAAUUUUGACCGUUGGAUAAAGUCUUUGGGAAUGUGGCAUCUUAGGAUGUGUUAUAGCCCAUUGUCGCAUACAGCGGUUGGGAUUGAGGAACUCAGCACGCCCGCAAGGGACGGGUUUUUACCACGUUCGUGCUUAGGAUGCUGGCAUAAUGGCUUUAAUCGACCCGUC